RNAcentral lists this ribosomal RNA (303 nucleotides) under uncultured bacterium. RNAcentral describes it as "partial 16S ribosomal RNA". It matches the Rfam family "Bacterial small subunit ribosomal RNA", at positions 507 to 808 of the family's 1533-position model. The record is from RNAcentral.
AGCAGCAGCCGCGGUAAAACGUAUGUCACAAGCGUUAUCCGGAUUUAUUGGGCGUAAAGCGCGUCUAGGUGGUUAUGUAAGUCUGAUGUGAAAAUGCAGGGCUCAACUCUGUAUUGCGUUGGAAACUGUGUAACUAGAGUACUGGAGAGGUAAGCGGAACUACAAGUGUAGAGGUGAAAUUCGUAGAUAUUUGUAGGAAUGCCGAUGGGGAAGCCAGCUUACUGGACAGAUACUGACGCUGAAGCGCGAAAGCGUGGGUAGCAAACAGGAUUAGAUACCCCCGUAGUCCCUGUCUCUUAUACA